AACGCACAUUGCGCCCAUUGGUAUUCCGAUGGGCAUGCCUGUUCGAGCGUCAUUAUCCUCCCUCAAACCUCGGGUUUGGUGUUGGACCGCGUUGGCCGAGCGACCAACUGGUCUCAAAGACAAUGACGGCGUCCGUGGGACCCUCGGUGCAACGAGCUUCUAAGGAGCACGCGUCGAGUUUCAAGGACCCUCCGGGCCGGUCUUGACCUCUAUCUCAGGUUGACCUCGGAUCAGGUAGGAAUACCCGCUGAACUUAA
RNAcentral lists this unclassified non-coding RNA (257 nucleotides) under uncultured Chaetothyriales. RNAcentral describes it as "sequence contains 5.8S rRNA gene, ITS2, 28S rRNA gene". The stretch from base 1 to 52 matches the Rfam family "5.8S ribosomal RNA", at positions 103 to 154 of the family's 154-position model. The record is from RNAcentral. Lineage: Eukaryota; Fungi; Ascomycota; Eurotiomycetes; Chaetothyriales.